GAUGAACGCUAGCGGCAGGCCUAACACAUGCAAGUCGAGGGGUAGCAGGAUUAAGCUUGCUUAAUUGCUGACGACCGGCGCACGGGUGCGUAACGCGUAUGCAACCUACCUUAUACUGGGGUAUAGCCCGGAGAAAUUCGGAUUAAUCCCCCAUAGUACUAAUGAAUCGCAUGGUUUAUUAGUUAAAGCAUUGCGGUAUAAGAUGGGCAUGCGUCCUAUUAGCUAGAUGGUGAGGUAACGGCUCACCAUGGCUACGAUAGGUAGGGGGCCUGAGAGGGUGGUACCCCACACUGGUACUGAGACACGGACCAGACUCCUACGGGAGGCAGCAGUGAGGAAUAUUGGUCAAUGGGCGCAAGCCUGAACCAGCCAUGCCGCGUGCAGGAAGAAUGCCCUAUGGGUUGUAAACUGCUUUUAUUUGGGAAUAAACCUCUUUACGUGUAGAGAGCUGAAGGUACCAAAUGAAUAAGCACCGGCUAACUCCGUGCCAGCAGCCGCAGUAA
This 503-nucleotide ribosomal RNA is filed under the name uncultured bacterium. RNAcentral describes it as "partial 16S ribosomal RNA". It matches the Rfam family "Bacterial small subunit ribosomal RNA", at positions 28 to 523 of the family's 1533-position model. The record is from RNAcentral.